This 465-nucleotide ribosomal RNA is filed under the name Haptophyta environmental samples. Its description in RNAcentral is "SSU rRNA". It matches the Rfam family "Eukaryotic small subunit ribosomal RNA", at positions 432 to 900 of the family's 1831-position model. Lineage: Eukaryota; Haptophyta. The record is from RNAcentral.
GCGCGUAAAUUGCCCGAAUCCUGACACAGGGAGGUAGUGACAAGAAAUAACAAUACAGGGCUACUUCUAGUCUUGUAAUUGGAAUGAGUACAACUUACAUCUCUUCACGAGGAUCAAUUGGAGGGCAAGUCUGGUGCCAGCAGCCGCGGUAAUUCCAGCUCCAAUAGCGUAUAUUAAAGUUGUUGCAGUUAAAAAGCUCGUAGUCGGAUUUCGGGGCCUGCCGAGCGGUCUGCCGAUGGGUAUGCACUGUUCGGCGCGUCCUUCUUUCCGGAGACUAAUUCUACUCUUAACUGAGCGGAAUUGGGAGACGGGUCGUUUACUUUGAAAAAAUCAGAGUGUUUCAAGCAGGCAGCUCGCUCUUGCAUGGAUUAGCAUGGGAUAAUGAAAUAGGACUCUGGUGCUAUUUUGUUGGUUUCGAACACCGGAGUAAUGAUUAACAGGGACAGUCAGGGGCACUCGUAUUCC